This 244-nucleotide ribosomal RNA is filed under the name uncultured bacterium. RNAcentral describes it as "partial 16S ribosomal RNA". It matches the Rfam family "Bacterial small subunit ribosomal RNA", at positions 81 to 334 of the family's 1533-position model. The record is from RNAcentral.
CAAUACCCAGUCGAGCGGCGGACGGGUGAGUAACGCGUGGAUAAUCUACCUUUUGGUGGGGGAUAACCCGGGGAAACUCGAGCUAAUACCGCAUAAGAUCGCAAGAUGAAAGGGGCGUUAAGUCCCGCCGGAAGAGGAGUCCGCGUCCGAUUAGCUAGUUGGUAGGGUAAUGGCCUACCAAGGCGACGAUCGGUAGCCGGCCUGAGAGGGUGAUCGGCCACACUGGAACUGAGACACGGUCCAG